UACAGAGGUCUCAAGCGUUGUUCGGAUUCAUUGGGCGUAAAGGGUGCGUAGGCGGCGCGGUAAGUCGGGUGUGAAAUCUUGGAGCUUAACUCCGAAACUGCAUUCGAUACUGCCGUGCUUGAGGACUGGAGAGGAGACUGGAAUUUACGGUGUAGCGGUGAAAUGCGUAGAGAUCGUGAGGAAGACCAGUGGCGAAGGCGGGUCUCUGGACAGUUCCUGACACUGAGGCACGAAGGCCAGGGGAGCAAACGGG
Molecule: ribosomal RNA, 253 nt
Filed under: uncultured bacterium
Lineage: Bacteria
Description: partial 16S ribosomal RNA
Rfam family: Bacterial small subunit ribosomal RNA
Source: RNAcentral